RNAcentral lists this ribosomal RNA (349 nucleotides) under Bacteroidetes bacterium QH_7_64_110. RNAcentral describes it as "bacterial LSU rRNA". It matches the Rfam family "Bacterial large subunit ribosomal RNA", at positions 2566 to 2925 of the family's 2925-position model. Lineage: Bacteria; Pseudomonadati; Bacteroidota. The record is from RNAcentral.
CAAGGGUUGGGCUGUUCGCCCAUUAAAGCGGCACGCGAGCUGGGUUCAGACCGUCGUGAGACAGGUCGGUCCCUAUCUACUGAGGGCGUCGAAGACUUGAGCGGAGCUGCUUCCAGUACGAGAGGACCGAAGUGGACGGACCGCUAGUGUGCCAGUUGUGCCGUCAGGCGCAUCGCUGGGUAGCUAUGUCCGGAAGGGAUGAGCGCUGAAAGCAUCUAAGCGCCAAGCCCCCCGCAAGAUCGGGUCUUCCUCAUGGGUCGUUCGAGACGAGGACGUGGAUAGGCUGCAGGUGUAAGCGUAGCAAUACGUUCAGCCGAGCAGUACUAAUUACCCAUAAGGCUUAACACCC